RNAcentral lists this ribosomal RNA (492 nucleotides) under uncultured bacterium. Its description in RNAcentral is "partial 16S ribosomal RNA". It matches the Rfam family "Bacterial small subunit ribosomal RNA", at positions 29 to 507 of the family's 1533-position model. The record is from RNAcentral.
AGUGAACGCUGGCGGUAGGCCUAACACAUGCAAGUCGAACGGCAGCACAGUAAGAGCUUGCUCUUACGGGUGGCGAGAGGCGGACGGGUGAGGAAUACAUCGGAAUCUACUUUUUCGUGGGGGAUAACGUAGGGAAACUUACGCUAAUAUCGCAUACGACCUACGGGUGAAAGCAGGGGAUCUUUGGACCUUGCGCGAUUGAAUGAGCCGAUGUCGGAUUAGCUAGUUGGCGGGGUAAUGGCCCACGAAGGCGGCGAUCCGUAGCUGGACUGAGAGGAGGAUCAGCCACACGGGAACUGAGACACGGUCCAGACUCCUACGGGAGGCAGCAGUGGGGAAUAUUGGACAAUAGGCGCAAGCCUGAUCCAGCCAUACCGCGUGUGUGAAGAAGGCGUUCGGGUUGUAAAGCCCUUUUGUUGGGAAAGAAAAGCAGCAGGUUAAUACCCCGCUGUUCUGACGGUACCCAAAGAAUAAGCACCGGCUAACUUCGUG